CCUACGGGUCGCAGCAGUGGGGAAUAUUGCACAAUGGGCGCAAGCCUGAUGCAGCCAUGCCGCGUGUAUGAAGUAGGCCUUCGGGUUGUAAAGUACUUUCAGCGAGGAGGAAGGCAUUAAGGUUAAUAACCUUAGUGAUUGACGUUACUCGCAGAAGAAGCACCGGCUAACUCCGUGCCAGCAGCCGCGGUAAUACGGAGGGUGCAAGCGUUAAUCGGAAUUACUGGGCGUAAAGCGCACGCAGGCGGUCUGUCAAGUCGGAUGUGAAAUCCCCGGGCUCAACCUGGGAACUGCAUUCGAAACUGGCAGGCUAGAGUCUUGUAGAGGGGGUAGAAUUCCAGGUGUAGCGGUGAAAUGCGUAGAGAUCUGGAGGAAUACCGGUGGCGAAGGCGGCCCCCUGGGCAAAGACUGACGCUCAGGUGCGAAAGCGUGGGGAGCAAACAGGAUUAGAUACCCCGGUAGUC
RNAcentral lists this ribosomal RNA (464 nucleotides) under uncultured bacterium. RNAcentral's name for it is "bacterial SSU rRNA". It matches the Rfam family "Bacterial small subunit ribosomal RNA", at positions 338 to 795 of the family's 1533-position model. The record is from RNAcentral.